UACAGAAGGGUGCAUCUCACGGAUGGA
RNAcentral lists this non-coding RNA (27 nucleotides) under Homo sapiens (human). Lineage: Eukaryota; Metazoa; Chordata; Mammalia; Primates; Hominidae. The record is from RNAcentral.